Molecule: ribosomal RNA, 484 nt
Filed under: uncultured Gemella sp.
Lineage: Bacteria; Bacillati; Bacillota; Bacilli; Caryophanales; Gemellaceae
Description: bacterial SSU rRNA
Rfam family: Bacterial small subunit ribosomal RNA
Source: RNAcentral
GACGAACGCUGGCGGCGUGCCUAAUACAUGCAAGUCGAGCGAAGUUUUUCUGGUGCUUGCACCGGAAAAACUUAGCGGCGAACGGGUGAGUAACACGUAAAGAACCUGCCUCAUAGACUGGGACAACUAUUGGAAACGAUAGCUAAUACCGGAUAACAGCAUUAACUGCAUGGUUGAUGUUUAAAAGUUGGUUUUGCUAACACUAUGAGAUGGCUUUGCGGUGCAUUAGCUAGUUGGUGGGGUAAAGGCCUACCAAGGCGACGAUGCAUAGCCGACCUGAGAGGGUGAUCGGCCACACUGGGACUGAGACACGGCCCAGACUCCUACGGGAGGCAGCAGUAGGGAAUCCUCCGCAAUGGGCGAAAGCCUGACGGAGCAACGCCGCGUGAGUGAAGAAGGAUUUCGGUUCGUAAAGCUCUGUUGUUAGGGAAGAAUGAUUGUGUAGUAACUAUACACAGAGANGACGKACCUAACCAGAAGCCAC